Molecule: small nucleolar RNA, 80 nt
Filed under: Trypanosoma cruzi
Lineage: Eukaryota; Euglenozoa; Kinetoplastea; Trypanosomatida; Trypanosomatidae
Description: C/D small nucleolar RNA (snoRNA)
Source: RNAcentral
GCGGCGUGAUUACAAACCGGAAGUCUGAAGGUCAACCGACCGCAGAGUCGAUGUGGACCCUUGUCCCCCGUGGCUGAGUG